UACGAACUGUGCAAACGUUAUUCGGAAUCACUGGGCUUAAAGGGUGCGUAGGCGGCUGUCUAAGUAGGGUGUGAAAGCCCCCGGCUCAACCGGGGAAUUGCGCCCUAAACUGGAUGGCUGGAGUGGGGCAGGGGUGUGUGGAACUUCCGGUGGAGCGGUGAAAUGUGUUGAUAUCGGAAGGAACGCCGGUGGCGAAAGCGACACACUGGGUCUCAACUGACGCUGAGGCACGAAAGCCAGGGGAGCAAACGGG
Molecule: ribosomal RNA, 253 nt
Filed under: uncultured bacterium
Lineage: Bacteria
Description: partial 16S ribosomal RNA
Rfam family: Bacterial small subunit ribosomal RNA
Source: RNAcentral